Molecule: ribosomal RNA, 840 nt
Filed under: Xanthoparmelia cumberlandia
Lineage: Eukaryota; Fungi; Ascomycota; Lecanoromycetes; Lecanorales; Parmeliaceae
Description: eukaryotic LSU rRNA
Rfam family: Eukaryotic large subunit ribosomal RNA
Source: RNAcentral
CAGUAACGGCGAGUGAAGCGGCAACAGCUCAAAUUUGAAAUCUGGCUCCUUCGGGGUCCGAAUUGUAAUUUGUAGAGAGUGCUUCGGGCGAGACCUCGGUCUAAGUCCAUUGGAACAUGGUGUCAUAGAGGGUGAGAAUCCCGUAUGCGACCGUGGCUCGAGCCCAUGUGAAGCCUCUUCGACGAGUCGAGUUGUUUGGGAAUGCAGCUCAAAAUGGGUGGUAAAUUUCAUCUAAAGCUAAAUACUGGCUGGAGACCGAUAGCGCACAAGUAGAGUGAUCGAAAGAUGAAAAGCACUUUGGAAAGAGAGUCAAACAGUACGUGAAAUUGUUGAAAGGGAAGCGCUUGCAACCAGACCUGCCCGUAGGCGAUCAGCCGCUGUUCUCAGCGGUGUACUCGCUCUGCGAUCAGGCCAGCAUCGGUUUCGGCGGUCGGAUAAAGACCUUGGGAAUGUAGCUUCCCUUCGGGGAAGUCUUAUAGCUCUCGGUGUAAUGCGGCCAGCCGAGACCGAGGACCGCGCUUCGGCUAGGAUGCUGGCGUAAUGGUUGUAAGCGACCCGUCUUGAAACACGGACCAAGGAGUCUAACAUCUAUGCGAGUGUUUGGGUGUCAAACCCAUACGCGGAAUGAAAGUGAACGGAGGUGAGAACCCUUAAGGGCGCAUCAUCGACCGAUCCAGAUGUCUUCGGAUGGAUUUGAGUAUGAGCAUAGCUGUUGGGACCCGAAAGAUGGUGAACUAUGCCUGAAUAGGGUGAAGCCAGAGGAAACUCUGGUGGAGGCUCGCAGCGGUUCUGACGUGCAAAUCGAUCGUCAAAUUUGGGUAUAGGGGCGAAAGACUAAUC